AGUAAUAUGUCUGAAUUUUUUAGGUAAUAAACUGUAAAUUUAUUUAUGAAUAUUUAAUAUUCUAUUACUA
Molecule: transfer RNA, 70 nt
Filed under: Alloxysta sp. ZJUH_2016001
Lineage: Eukaryota; Metazoa; Arthropoda; Insecta; Hymenoptera; Figitidae
Description: tRNA-Tyr
Source: RNAcentral